RNAcentral lists this transfer RNA (73 nucleotides) under Marmota monax (woodchuck). RNAcentral describes it as "tRNA.Thr". Lineage: Eukaryota; Metazoa; Chordata; Mammalia; Rodentia; Sciuridae. The record is from RNAcentral.
UGUGGAUGUGGCUCAGUGGAAGAGUGCUUACCUUGUCCGUGUAAGGCCCUGAGUUCAAUCCCUAGCACCACAA